CGUGAUCAUUUCUUUUCUCUUUCUGUGCUCUCUUCUCUUUACCCCAUUUUAAACCAAGAAAGCCCUUCUGGCUUCUUUAUACCCUUGGAAGUCUGCGUCGGUGCUAAUGAUGACUCUGUCCCUGGAGCCAGCAAGUCUCAAAUGUGUACACAAUGCUCCAAACCAGGGCUUUGAGGAGACCAUAGCAGCCUUCAAAGAGACCCACACACACUCAGGGUCCAGCAGCUCACACCGUGGAUCAAAGAUCUUCAUGGUACUGAGCCAAGCCCUACACCUAAAACCAAUCAAGGGAUGCUGUCUUCUAUUCUUCUGGAACUUCACAAGAUCAAGCGAAGCCCUGCACCUGAUACAAAUCUUCUGGCAUGAGCUCAAGCCACGGCCCUCCAACUGAUUCUAAUCAAGUCAGAGAGUGUGAGUGAGCCAGGAUAUGUAACUGAGUAGAGCCAGUGCCUGCCUGGUAAGUACUGCCUGGUAAUCACUGCCUUGUUGCCUUUUAUAGGAGAGCCAGGUCGGGCCCUGCUGGCACUACUGUGCUGCGCUUUACACCAAGCUGAAGAAGCCCCUGGCCUUUGGAGAGGUGGCCUCCUCACCCUGUACUCACUCACCCUGUACUGUAUAGUAGCUGGCCUAUCUCCAGGACUCCUACAAAUCCA
This 653-nucleotide long non-coding RNA is filed under the name Fukomys damarensis (Damara mole-rat). Its description in RNAcentral is "lncRNA (ENSFDAG00000023649.1)". The record is from RNAcentral. Lineage: Eukaryota; Metazoa; Chordata; Mammalia; Rodentia; Bathyergidae.